ACGGGUGAGUAACGUCUGGGAAACUGCCCGAUGGAGGGGGAUAACUACUGGAAACGGUAGCUAAUACCGCAUAACGUCGCAAGACCAAAGUGGGGGACCUUCGGGCCUCACACCAUCGGAUGUGCCCAGAUGGGAUUAGCUAGUAGGUGGGGUAAUGGCUCACCUAGGCGACGAUCCCUAGCUGGUCUGAGAGGAUGACCAGCCACACUGGAACUGAGACACGGUCCAGACUCCUACGGGAGGCAGCAGUGGGGAAUAUUGCACAAUGGGCGCAAGCCUGAUGCAGCCAUGCCGCGUGUAUGAAGAAGGCCUUCGGGUUGUAAAGUACUUUCAGCGGGGAGGAAGGCGGUGAAGUUAAUAGCUUCACCGAUUGACGUUACCCGCAGAAGAAGCACCGGCUAACUCCGUGCCAGCAGCCGCGGUAAUACGGAGGGUGCAAGCGUUAAUCGGAAUUACUGGGCGUAAAGCGCACGCAGGCGGUCUGUCAAGUCGGAUGUGAAAUCCCCGGGCUCAACCUGGGAACUGCAUCCGAAACUGGCAGGCUUGAGUCUCGUAGAGGGGGGUAGAAUUCCAGGUGUA
RNAcentral lists this ribosomal RNA (579 nucleotides) under uncultured bacterium. RNAcentral describes it as "bacterial SSU rRNA". It matches the Rfam family "Bacterial small subunit ribosomal RNA", at positions 102 to 677 of the family's 1533-position model. The record is from RNAcentral.